Long non-coding RNA from Folsomia candida, 1658 nucleotides. RefSeq lists it as uncharacterized. The record is from RefSeq and is a predicted model, not a curated record. The transcript has 3 exons. NCBI's taxonomy places the organism in Eukaryota, Metazoa, Arthropoda, Collembola, Entomobryomorpha, Isotomidae.
ACCAUAAGUGACGACUUUUCAGAUUUGUCAGAAAUUUUUUAUGAGACAAGAGUUACUACCAAUAUACAAUGCGUAUUACUUUUUCAUUAGAAGAGCUGCUCUAAGAAAAGUUGAUAAUUUCCCAAACACAAAAUUGAUGACAUUUUAAGGCGAAACUUGUUAAUUGGACUAAUGAGAUUUUCCUAGAGACGAAACUAUGACAUGAGCUCAAAUCGAAUUGACGGAACUGUACAUGAUUGAUAGAGUAUAAAAACUAUUGCAAUUUCAACAUUGAUGGCAAUCAUAGUACCAACGGUAUAGUAGUGCCAUACAGUGACAGACAAUUUAUUUUAUGUAUCUCAAUACAGCAUUACUUACAACUUGUAUAGUUAUCAGCAUGCAAACAGUAGCAAUGUUCCAAACAUCUCAUUACAUAAGAAAUCGAACCAACCUCUCCGUCACUUGCAAUACAAAUAAGCUGGUGAAACACUGGAAUGUGAUAAUAAUAGUGCUAGUACUCCUAAUUAACUUUUCUAACGAUGGCGUAAAUGCAAACCCCAUCGCAAUAUUGUCCAGCAAUUCUGACAUAAACUCUGUAAAUCCCUACAGCUCAGUCAGUCUUUAUAGUGAUACAAACUUUAAAGGGUUCAAAACUGUUCUUAGGCAAUCCCAAGCGUGUACCAAUCUUAUUGGUGCCAUGAAUGAUGACGUUUCUUCUGUGGAUGUGGAAGGGGGAUGUGUGGUCCUCUGUGAACAUUCCAUGUGUCGAGGACGAUGUCAAGAAAUCCAUUACUAUACUUCGGAUCUUUCAAGACUUGGUUUGAACGACAUUGUGUCCUCACUUAAAUCUUGUGAAUCUUGAGAAAUGCCAGUAAAUAAACUGAAUCGUUUUGAAAUUUUAUCUAAGGAAGUGUUGCAUAUUUUGAUGCAUGUGAUCAGCUUAUUAUGUAUCAGCAUCCCAUCUCAACUUUUUCGGAACUCCAUGAGUUAUUGCUACCAAUUAUCUAUUACCCGGCCGGUGGUCUGUAAUCGAGUUGGGAUAUGGCACAGACUAAUUCAUAAUUGACCCGUUCCGACUGCUAAUGAAUUUUUAAGCUAAUACUAGGAAACCACAACUAUCAACACCCAUGGUACACACGCUACGAUGUCGUUAAGUUAUUGCCAUCAAUUGUCGGUCAGUGCUUAUCGUGGUUUAAUUUGGUCGGCCUUCUUUCAUGUCCAUCUUCCUUCCAGUAUAAAAGAAGCAUACUUUCCCUAUUUAUUGCAUGACGUUCCUAAUUUGUAUGAUUUUUUUGUAUACUUUUUACAAAGGCUGUAGAUCAGCAUUGGUCUUGAAAAAUCAACAGACCACUCACAAAGUUUGCGCCUUUCAGUAAUUUAUAGGAAUCAGUAAUUUGUCGGCCCUUCUCAAACUCAACAAGAAAAAAAUGCAAAAUAAAGUUAUUUUAGUGCUAUUACUUGUGAUGGUAGGAGGAAGGUGCAGUAGGGCCGACCCUCUUCCUGAAGUUCAUGUUGUAUUCUACAGUGACAAAGAUUUCAAAGGUCUAAGAUCUACGUAUAUUCUCAGUGACCAAUGCGCCAAUCUCAACGGACAACAAAAUGAUCACUUCUCAUCAGUAAACGUCGAAGGCCACUGUAUCGAAGUAUGUGAGCACGUUUAUUGUCGAGGGCCAUGCGUA